RNAcentral lists this ribosomal RNA (364 nucleotides) under uncultured bacterium. RNAcentral describes it as "bacterial SSU rRNA". It matches the Rfam family "Bacterial small subunit ribosomal RNA", at positions 335 to 690 of the family's 1533-position model. The record is from RNAcentral.
ACUCCUACGGGAGGCAGCAGUGGGGAAUAUUGCACAAUGGGGGAAACCCUGAUGCAGCCAUGCCGCGUGUGUGAAGAAGGCCUUCGGGUUGUAAAGCACUUUCAGUAGGGAGGAAGGUAGUGUAGUUAACACCUGCACUAUUUGACGUUACCUACAGAAGAAGCACCGGCUAACUCCGUGCCAGCAGCCGCGGUAAUACGGAGGGUGCGAGCGUUAAAUCGGAAUUACUGGGCGUAAAGCGCAUGCAGGCGGCCUGUAAGUCAGAUGUGAAAGCCCGGGGCUUAACCUCGGAAUUGCAUUUGAAACUGGCAGGCUAGAGUCUUGUAGAGGGGGGUAGAAUUUCAGGUGUAAGCGGUGAAAUGCG